Molecule: ribosomal RNA, 799 nt
Filed under: Bacillus cereus
Lineage: Bacteria; Bacillati; Bacillota; Bacilli; Caryophanales; Bacillaceae
Description: bacterial SSU rRNA
Rfam family: Bacterial small subunit ribosomal RNA
Source: RNAcentral
AGAUGGGAUAAUUCCGGGAAACGGGGCUAAACCCGGAUACAUUUUGAACCGCAUGGUUUGAAAUUGAAAAGCGGGUUCGGCUGUCAUUAUGGAUGGACCCGCGUCGCAUUAGCUAGUUGUGAGGUAACGGCUCCCCAAGGCAACGAUGCGUAGCCGACCUGAGAGGGUGAUCGGCCACACUGGGAUGAGACACGGCCCAGACUCCUACGGGAGGCAGCAGUAGGGAAUCUUCCGCAAUGGACGAAAGUCUGACGGAGCAACGCCGCGUGAGUGAUGAAGGCUUUCGGGUCGUAAAACUCUGUUGUUAGGGAAGAACAAGUGCUAGUUGAAUAAGCUGGCACCUUGACGGUACCUAACCAGAAAGCCACGGCUAACUACGUGCCAGCAGCCGCGGUAAUACGUAGGUGGCAAGCGUUAUCCGGAAUUAUUGGGCGUAAAGCGCGCGCAGGUGGUUUCUUAAGUCUGAUGUGAAAGCCCACGGCUCAACCGUGGAGGGUCAUUGGAAACUGGGAGACUUGAGUGCAGAAGAGGAAAGUGGAAUUCCAUGUGUAGCGGUGAAAUGCGUAGAGAUAUGGAGGAACACCAGUGGCGAAGGCGACUUUCUGGUCUGUAACUGACACUGAGGCGCGAAAGCGUGGGGAGCAAACAGGAUUAGAUACCCUGGUAGUCCACGCCGUAAACGAUGAGUGCUAAGUGUUAGAGGGUUUCCGCCCUUUAGUGCUGAAGUUAACGCAUUAAGCACUCCGCCGAGGGAGUACGGCCGCAAGGCUGAAAUAAACCUGACUGUGACCUGUCUUGC